This 397-nucleotide ribosomal RNA is filed under the name uncultured bacterium. RNAcentral's name for it is "bacterial SSU rRNA". It matches the Rfam family "Bacterial small subunit ribosomal RNA", at positions 358 to 772 of the family's 1533-position model. The record is from RNAcentral.
GGAAUAUUGGACAAUGGGGGCAACCCUGAUCCAGCCAUGCCGCGUGAGUGAUGAAGGCCCUAGGGUUGUAAAACUCUUUCGGCGGGGACGAUAAUGACGGUACCCGCAGAAGAAGCUCCGGCUAACUACGUGCCAGCAGCCGCGGUAAUACGUAGGGUGCAAGCGUUAAUCGGAAUUACUGGGCGUAAAGCGUACGCAGGCGGCUUUGCAAGACAGGUGUGAAAUCCCCGGGCCUAACCUGGGAACUGCAUUUGUGACUGCAUGGCUAGAGUCUGUCAGAGGGGGGUGGAAUUCCACGUGUAGCAGUGAAAUGCGUAGAGAUGUGGAAGAACACCGAUGGCGAAGGCAGCCCCCUGGGAUAAGACUGACGCUCAUGUACGAAAGCGUGGGGAGCAAA